This 235-nucleotide ribosomal RNA is filed under the name uncultured Candidatus Saccharibacteria bacterium. RNAcentral describes it as "partial 16S ribosomal RNA". It matches the Rfam family "Bacterial small subunit ribosomal RNA", at positions 584 to 818 of the family's 1533-position model. The record is from RNAcentral. Lineage: Bacteria; Candidatus Saccharimonadota.
UAAGCAUUUGGUGAAAGCGUGUGGCUCAACCAUACUCACAUCAAGUGAACUGCAAAGCUAGAGGACGAGAGAGGUCACUGGAAUUCCUAGUGUAGGAGUGAAAUCCGUAGAUAUUAGGAGGAACACCGAUGGCGUAGGCAGGUGACUGGCUCGUUCCUGACGCUCAGGCACGAAAGCGUGGGGAGCAAACGGGAUUAGAUACCCCGGUAGUCCACGCCGUAAACGAUGGAUGCUA